AUGGAUGGCCCCAUCGCUUCCCUCCUCUGCCGUCAGCCGCCACCAGCGCCCUGCAUCAGGGCAUGUCACCAUUGGGGCACUUCCCACCCUGCUUCACCCAAUGACGGCACCCACUGGCACCCCCCAGGUGUGUCUUCUCUAGUCCAGAGGAGGCUACCACCGCAUGUGAUAGCGAGCAGAACGAACAGCAUACGUUACGCGCGGCUAUCUAGUGAGAUGCAGUUUGGAGCAUAUAUGUGUUGUGUAGUUUGGCGACGAACGACAUGUGUUACGUGCGGCUCGUGCAUGCAGUCCAUUGUGUGA
RNAcentral lists this ribosomal RNA (303 nucleotides) under Triticum aestivum (bread wheat). Its description in RNAcentral is "partial small subunit ribosomal RNA". The record is from RNAcentral. Lineage: Eukaryota; Viridiplantae; Streptophyta; Magnoliopsida; Poales; Poaceae.